UUUUACUUUUCAUAUAUUUGAAAUGAAACCUAAUCGGACUAAAAUUCGGAAAAUGAUUUUUUUAAACUUCUUUUACUUUUAGAAAAAAAACAAAUGUCAAACAAUUUCAAAUAAAUAAGUACCGUAUGAAGCCUUUGUAAACUGAUAUCAAGUUGAAAACAAGUGGUUUUGACAAUAUGUCCAUUCGUUUUUGAUGCGUUUUGUUAUUUGAUUUUGCCAUGUGAUUAUGGACUUUCCCAAUUGAUCCUCCUCUAAGUUCAGUAUUUUUGUGAUUUUACUUUUUGAUAAACCCCACGGACGCCACAUGAAUUUUUUUUCAAUUCAAUCGUUAUUCGUACUAUGAAUUAAGCAGUAAUAGAAAGUGGAAAAGUAAACAUGAUGAUUUAUAGUUUUUUAGACAAACAUUGACCAAUUCUUGAGCAGUUUCAGAUUUUUCUCUAAAAAAAACCGGUUGAUCGGGGUUUUAUUUAUUAAUUUAGCAACAUUAAAAAACAUACAUGGUCAUAUAUCAAUUAAAAUCCAAUGUUCACUCAGCACUAAAAGUUUAUAUAUACAUAUAACACAGUAAACGUCAGUAUACUAUUAUACAGUACUUGUAGCACAGUUGACAUAUUUGUCAAAGCGGAAAAAUUGUAGCCAACUAACUUAAUGAAGUCUAAACUAGUAAUCUCUUCUCUACCAUACUUAGACUCAAAAUACACUUUCUUAAAUACCAGGGGCCCAGAAGUUCAAACAAUUAUUAAGGAAUUAUAUAAUCAUAAUAAAAUACAAAUCAAGAAAAAAUACUAUAAUAAAAAAAAGUCUUAUACAUCAUUAUUCUCAUUUUUUACAGGUGAACUACAGGUAAAAAUGCGGAAAUGUAGUAUCUAUUUUUUUUCGGAAAAGUAAUGCACGAAAAUGCGGAAACGUUAUACACCCCUUAAAUUAAAGAAUCUGAGUGUUUAAUCAACUGUUAUAUUAUAUGGCAUGUGUCAAUCGGUUCAUUGAUUUUCGAUAUAUCAAAGAAAAACGGGCACAUGCUAAGAUAAUGUUGAAUAUCUUGUUUAUAUAUGAUUAUUUUUCUAUAAAAUUGAAAUUUUUUGCAUUAAAUAUCAAUCUCUAACAUAAUAUGUAAAAAUAAUACAUAUAACAGCACUCCUUCUAGUCCUUAGUGGCAUUGUAUAGUCCUUAGCAGUGUUUAGACGUACCGCCAUGUAAAUACUAUCAACGAAUAGAAGAACACUUCUGAUUUACAGGGAAAAUCAUUUUUGCUUUUCAAUAUUACACUAAUAUCAACCAGGGACACCCAUAUAGUCACAAGUGCUCUGCUCGAAGAAAUAUAUUUGUUGAUUGUUUAUAUGGUGUGUGGUAUCGAAAAGGCCGUAUCAUUUGUAUUAAUUAUAAACAUGUUUCUUAAGAAGGUGAUUUCUUUUUUGUGGCAUGACGUUAUACAAAUUUCGGGGUUGAAUAAAGUUUUUGAAACCUUCACUGAUAUGAUGACAUGAUAUAAACUCAUCACAGAUAACAGGAUUGAAAUUUUAUAUUUACGUGAGACGCACGUUUUG
Molecule: long non-coding RNA, 1544 nt
Filed under: Mytilus galloprovincialis (Mediterranean mussel)
Lineage: Eukaryota; Metazoa; Mollusca; Bivalvia; Mytilida; Mytilidae
Source: RNAcentral